CCUACGGGUGGCAGCAGUGAGGAAUAUUGGUCAAUGGGCGCAAGCCUGAACCAGCCAAGCCGCGUGAGGGAUGAAGGUCCUAUGGAUUGUAAACCUCUUUUGUCAGGGAGCAAAGGGCGCCACGAGUGGCGCUUUGCGAGUACCUGAAGAAAAAGCAUCGGCUAACUCCGUGCCAGCAGCCGCGGUAAUACGGAGGAUGCGAGCGUUAUCGGGAUUUAUUGGGUGAAAAGGGUGCGCAGGCGGAAUGUAAAGUCAGCGGUAAAAGGACGGGGCCCAACCCCGUCGUGCCGUUGAAACUGGCGGGCUUGAGUGAACGAGAGGUAAGCGGAAUGCGUGGUGUAGCGGUGAAAUGCAUAGAUAUCACGAAGAACUCCGGUUGCGAAGGCAGCGGACCGGCGCUCAACUGACGCUGAUGCACGAAAGCGUGGGUAUCGAACAGGAUUAGAUACCCGGGUAGUC
RNAcentral lists this ribosomal RNA (459 nucleotides) under uncultured bacterium. RNAcentral describes it as "partial 16S ribosomal RNA". It matches the Rfam family "Bacterial small subunit ribosomal RNA", at positions 338 to 795 of the family's 1533-position model. The record is from RNAcentral.